Molecule: ribosomal RNA, 253 nt
Filed under: uncultured bacterium
Lineage: Bacteria
Description: partial 16S ribosomal RNA
Rfam family: Bacterial small subunit ribosomal RNA
Source: RNAcentral
UACGGAGGGGGCUAGCGUUGUUCGGAAUUACUGGGCGUAAAGCGUGUGUAGGCGGUCUUCUAAGUCGGGUGUGAAAUCCCUGGGCUCAACCCAGGAAGUGCACUCGAAACUGGAGGGCUAGAGUAUCGGAGAGGUUGGUGGAAUUCUCGGUGUAGAGGUGAAAUUCGUAGAUAUCGAGAGGAACACCGGUGGCGAAGGCGGCCAACUGGACGAAUACUGACGCUGAGACACGAAAGCGUGGGGAGCAAACAGG